Non-coding RNA from Vicia faba (fava bean), 264 nucleotides. The record is from the annotation of a GenBank genome assembly. NCBI's taxonomy places the organism in Eukaryota, Viridiplantae, Streptophyta, Magnoliopsida, Fabales, Fabaceae.
AUGAAUGUGGAAGAAGAGGUUGGACGCCUAAGGGAAGAAAUCAAGAGGCUUGGCAAGCUCCAAUCAGAUGGUUCUUACAAGGUUACAUUUGGAACGCUAUUUCAUGAUGAUCAAUGUGCAAAUAUAUUUGAAGCACUUGUUGGGACACUAAGAGCAGCUAAAAAGCGAAAAGUAUUAACAUACGAAGGUGAAUUGCUGCUGCAAGGAGUUCAUGACAAUGUGGAAAUCACUCUUAAUCCCACCCCUGCUGCUGCUGUCAACUGA